UUUGGUGUGUGUGUGGGUUUGUGUGUGAAACAAACCACACCCAUAUGAGACGUGGGAGUGGAGAUAAUUCCAUUUUGGAGGAAUUACAUCAUGAAGUGGAAGAGUCACAUCAACGAGGAGCUCUGUCACUGGGGGAGCUGGUCUGGAAUAUCCUAACUGCUUAACUGUAAGGGUUAAGCACUGAUGUGUCUUUUAUGUAAUAUGAAAUUUAACAAGAGAUUUUUUUUUAACGAGAAACUUGAUGAGAAAGAUGGAAUUUGUGAGUAAUUUGUAAAGAAAUGGACUAUGACAAGAGUCAUAAUUGCCUCUGAGAAAAGCCAUCGUGCAGAAAUAGAAACACUCCUUCCACUGAGGAUUUGGACAUUUUGUUGAAAGCAGCUAGCAGCUGGAAAUGCAAGGACCAGUACUGGACUUUCUUAUUACCCAAGGAUAGCCCGGCAUUCAAAAGCUCGGCAGCUGACCCAACAGGAUGGCUGCACCUUUUUCCCCCCCUCUGGGAGGAAGGAUCUGGGUUCAGCCUUUAUUCGGCUCCCUGAUGGCCCCAUGUGCUAAUACUGCUGUCACGUCCUGGGGAGAGAGAGAAGACUAAUUACUGACUGCACUCGCUUCCUGCCAGUCCCCCUCUGAGAGCCAUACACUGUUAAUUAGACGACAAUGCCAACGAGAGCUGCACUGUGGAUGAGGCCGACCUUUACCUCAUGUAAAUAGCAUUAAAAAUCAAAAUAAAUGUUUAAUUCCUCAUUUCCAUUAUUCCAUCUGUAUUUCAUAACAUCCUUCUUUACAGAGUUUUUCCAUUUUUAACCAUCCAAGUGAAGUGAAUAAAACAAAUAACUUUCUAUUUAAGGGACACGUUAAAUAAAAACACAGUUUUAAUCCAGCUGGCUGAGCAGAGACUUUAACUGUAGGCCAGUUUUACACUUUUCUGUCUUACAGAUUUUAAAAUUAUGCAUUCUGAUUUAGUGAUUCCCUCUGGCCAACAUAUCUUUUAUCAUUCUAAUCAAUAUUAGAUAUCUGUCCGAUAUUUUAAAUAUGAUUUUUAGCCUGGGACUCUGCAGCCACGGUAGACUCUCUGUGAAACUGCACUCAGGCUCUGGAAUAAAAGCUAAUUGCAGCAUACUGACAUGCUCACAGUGAGAUCACCGUAAGCACAAACACAGUAAUGCCACCAUUUUAUUUUAGGUUGUUAGAACGCUAAUGUUUGUUAGUAAGCACUACACCUAAAGUAUAAAUGAUGCUGAUGGAAUAUUUUGGGUGAGUGAGGAUAAUAUUGGGUGAAUAAAUAUCUGGACCAAAGAAAAAUCAAAGCACCAAAUCAAAUUUCCUGUAGCCAUUUAUAUUUUACCUUUAUCACAACUGCCACCUAUCUGUGGUCCACUAUCACCAAAUUUAGGAGGAUGAAUCCAGUGAGACAUUUUGGUAUUUUAUAGUGUUGUGCUCCUUUAGGAGGCAAACCCAUGUUGUGCAUUUUGUGAAAUACGAGCUCCAACUCCAUCUCGCUGUUAACGGGUGAUUAAAAAAAAAGCAGCCUUUAGGAACAUAAUGGUGAAAUUAAGUGGGGUGAAAAGCUGGAGUCUUUUGUUUGGGGUCCACUUUGUGAUUAUCUUGAGGCUACAAAUGGAUUCAGUGUUUUAUUGAUGUGAUUAUUUUAAGUGUUAUUGCUGGACCUUUAACCAGAUGUUUGGAGGUUAAAUGCCUCCCCCAAAGGCAAUCAGAAGUGUUCUUUCAUAAAACAACAGCAAUUCUGCCUCUAAUUAAUAGGUCUAAUUAAACAGAGUGCUAACGUGGCAUCAGGCACGUCUCUCCUGUUUGUGUAGCAGAAAACAGGACAGUGACAGUAGUGAAGAAAUACAUUUAUUCAGUUUGACUUUUGGUCAAUUAAAAUUCUGUCAUCUAAAAUUUUAGAUUUGGUUUAAUUAGAAACUGGCAAUCAAAAGCCUCUUCAGCUUUCACUUGAGUUCUUUAAAUGAACUGAUUUACACAACAGGCAUUAAUCCUUCAAAAAAACUGCGCACACCCAGGUACACUCAAUCACAACGCUAACAUAAAAGAUGCUAAGACUUGCUGCUGUGCUGAGUAAAGGAAAGCUCAAUGUGACUUCAUCCUGAGAAUCAAAAGAAUAAACAGUACCAAAGGCUCAGUGCUCCGUUUAAUGAUAUACUCUUUGGUAAUCUCUGAUAAUUCCUCAAGUUAAAUAGUCAGAUCAUCUGGUAAAUAUGUUUUAGAAAGGAUUAAAUGAUGUCUAAGCCUCAUCGGGAAGGGCAGCAACGCUGGCAAGAGCCGGGAUGAUCCUCUCGUACACGCUGAUGCCUUUCAGGAAGACUUGCUCGUUCAGAUACUCGUUGUGAUCAUGCAGCAGGAUCGGCGUCCGGUUCAUUGGAGAAAAGC
Long non-coding RNA from Oreochromis niloticus (Nile tilapia), 2385 nucleotides. RefSeq lists it as uncharacterized. The transcript has 2 exons. The record is from RefSeq and is a predicted model, not a curated record. NCBI's taxonomy places the organism in Eukaryota, Metazoa, Chordata, Actinopteri, Cichliformes, Cichlidae.